UAGCUAGUUGGUGAGGUAAAGGCUUACCAAGGCGACGAUCUGUAGCGGGUCUGAGAGGAUGAUCCGCCACACUGGAACUGAGACACGGUCCAGACUCCUACGGGAGGCAGCAGUGGGGAAUUUUGGACAAUGGGGGCAACCCUGAUCCAGCCAUGCCGCGUGAGUGAAGAAGGCCCUCGGGUUGUAAAGCUCUUUCGGCCGGGAGGAAAUCGCAUGGGCCAAUACCCUGUGUGGAUGACGGUACCGGAAUAAGAAGCACCGGCUAACUACGUGCCAGCAGCCGCGGUAAUACGUAGGGUGCGAGCGUUAAUCGGAAUUACUGGGCGUAAAGCGUGCGCAGGCGGUUUUGUAAGACAGGCGUGAAAUCCCCGGGCUUAACCUGGGAACUGCGUUUGUGACUGCAAGGCUAGAGUACGGCAGAGGGGGGUGGAAUUCCACGUGUAGCAGUGAAAUGCGUAGAGAUGUGGAGGAACACCAAUGGCGAAGGCAGCCCCCUGGGUCGAUACUGACGCUCAUGCACGAAAGCGUGGGUAGCAAACAGGAUUAGAUACCCUGGUAGUCCACGCCCUAAACUAUGUCAACUAGGUGUUGGGUGGGUAAAACCAUUUAGUACCGUAGCUAACGCGUGAAGUUGACCGCCUGGGGAGUACGGCCGCAAGGUUAAAACUCAAAGGAAUUGACGGGGACCCGCACAAGCGGUGGAUGAUGUGGAUUAAUUCGAUGCAACGCGAAGAACCUUACCUACCCUUGACAUGCCAGGAACUUGCCAGAGAUGGCUUGGUGCCCGAAAGGGAGCCUGGACACAGGUGCUGCAUGGCUGUCGUCAGCUCGUGUCGUGAGAUGUUGGGUUAAGUCCCGCAACGAGCGCAACCCUUGUCGUUAAUUGCCAUCAUUUAGUUGGGCACUUUAACGAGACUGCCGGUGACAAACCGGAGGAAGGUGGGGAUGACGUCAAGUCCUCAUGGCCCUUAUGGGUAGGGCUUCACACGUCAUACAAUGGUCGGUACAAAGGGUUGCCAAGCCGCGAGGCGGAGCCAAUCCCAGAAAGCCGAUCGUAGUCCGGAUUGCAGGCUGCAACUCGCCUGCAUGAAGUCGGAAUCGCUAGUAAUCGUGGAUCAGCAUGUCACGGUGAAUACGUUCCCGGGUCUUGUACACACCGCCCGUCACACCAUGGGAGCGGGUUCCGCCAGAAGUAGGUAGCCUAACCGCAAGGGGGGCGCUUACCACGGCGGGGUUCGUGACUGGGGUGAAGUCGGAACAAGGUAGCCGUAGGGGAACCUGCGGCUG
RNAcentral lists this ribosomal RNA (1287 nucleotides) under metagenome. RNAcentral's name for it is "bacterial SSU rRNA". It matches the Rfam family "Bacterial small subunit ribosomal RNA", at positions 242 to 1520 of the family's 1533-position model. The record is from RNAcentral.